RNAcentral lists this ribosomal RNA (763 nucleotides) under uncultured Mollicutes bacterium. RNAcentral's name for it is "bacterial SSU rRNA". It matches the Rfam family "Bacterial small subunit ribosomal RNA", at positions 92 to 850 of the family's 1533-position model. The record is from RNAcentral. Lineage: Bacteria; Bacillati; Mycoplasmatota; Mollicutes.
UUAGUGGCGCAAGGGUGAGUAACGCGUGGGUAUCUACCUAAGAGACUGGGAUAACAAAUGGAAACGUUUGCUAAUACCGGAUUAAAUGUAAGAUGAAAUAAGUCGUAUAUUAAAAGAAGCCUCAGAGCUUCGCUUUUAGAUGAGCCUGCGUCGCAUUAGCUAGUUGGUGGGGUAAAGGCCUACCAAGGCGACGAUGCGUAGCCGACUCGAGAGGGUGAUCGGCCACAUUGGGACUGAGACACGGCCCAAACUCCUACGGGAGACAGCAGUUAGGAAUAUUCGUCAAUGGGGGAAACCCUGAACGAGCGAUGCCGCGUGAGUGAUGACGGUCCUUUGGAUUGUAAAACUCUGUUGUUAGGGAAGAAAUGAUUGUAUAGGAAAUGAUACAAUUUUGACGGUACCUUUCAAGAAAGCUCCGGCUAACUACGUGCCAGCAGCCGCGGUAAUACGUAGGGAGCGAGCGUUAUCCGGAUUUAUUGGGUGUAAAGCGUGUGUAGGCGGUUUUAUAAGUCUAGGGUCUAAGCCCGGAGCUCAACUCCGGUUCGCCUUGGAAACUGUAAGACUUGAGUUUGGUAGAGGUAAAUGGAAUUUCUAGUGUAGCGGUGAAAUGCGUAGAUAUUAGAAGGAACACCAGUGGCGAAGGCGAUUUACUGGGCCAACACUGACGCUGAGACACGAAAGCGUGGGUAGCAAAUAGGAUUAGAUACCCUAGUAGUCCACGCUGUAAACGAUGGAUACUAAGUGUCGGGAAACCGGUGCUGAA